This 1357-nucleotide ribosomal RNA is filed under the name metagenome. RNAcentral's name for it is "bacterial LSU rRNA". It matches the Rfam family "Bacterial large subunit ribosomal RNA", at positions 1580 to 2925 of the family's 2925-position model. The record is from RNAcentral.
CUGUGGGGAAUUCAGUGAUCCUAUGCUGCCGAGAAAAGCCUCUAGUGAGUUCAUACACGGCCCGUACCCCAAACCGACACAGGUGAUCAGGUAGAGAAUACCAAGGCGAUCGAGAGAACUGUGGUUAAGGAACUCGGCAAAAUGCCCCCGUAACUUCGGGAGAAGGGGGACCAUGCCCGGUGAACAUCUUCACGGUGGGAGCUGGGUGUGGUCGCAGAGACCAGAGAGAAGCGACUGUUUACUAAAAACACAGGUCCGUGCGAAGACGUAAGUCGAUGUAUACGGACUGACGCCUGCCCGGUGCUGGAAGGUUAAGAGGACCGGUUAGCCGUAAGGCGAAGCUGAGAAUUUAAGCCCCAGUAAACGGCGGUGGUAACUAUAACCAUCCUAAGGUAGCGAAAUUCCUUGUCGGGUAAGUUCCGACCUGCACGAAUGGCGUAACGACUUCUCUGCUGUCUCGACCACAGACUCGGCGAAAUUGCACUACGAGUAAAGAUGCUCGUUACGCGCGGCAGGACGAAAAGACCCCGGGACCUUUACUAUAGCUUGGUAUUGGCGUUCGAUUCGGUUUGUGUAGGAUAGGUGGGAGACUGUGAAGCAUGCACGCCAGUGUGUGUGGAGUCGUUGUUGAAAUACCACUCUGAUCGUAUUGGACGUCUAACCUCGGCCCAUGAUCUGGGUUAGGGACAGUGCCUGGUGGGUAGUUUAACUGGGGCGGUUGCCUCCUAAAGAGUAACGGAGGCGCCCAAAGGUUCCCUCAGCCUGGAUGGCAAUCAGGUGUUGAGUGCAAGUGCACAAGGGAGCUUGACUGUGAGACUGACACGUCGAGCAGGGACGAAAGUCGGGACUAGUGAUCCGGCACCGGCAAGUGGAAGCGGUGUCGCUCAACGGAUAAAAGGUACCCCGGGGAUAACAGGCUGAUCUUCCCCAAGAGUCCAUAUCGACGGGAUGGUUUGGCACCUCGAUGUCGGCUCGUCGCAUCCUGGGGCUGGAGUAGGUCCCAAGGGUUGGGCUGUUCGCCCAUUAAAGCGGCCCGCGAGCUGGGUUUAGAACGUCGUGAGACAGUUCGGUCUCUAUCCGCCGCGCGCGUAAGAAACUUGAGGAAGGCUGUCCCUAGUACGAGAGGACCGGGACGGACGAACCUCUGGUGUGCCAGUUGUUCCACCAGGAGCAUGGCUGGUUAGCUACGUUCGGAAGGGAUAACCGCUGAAAGCAUCUAAGCGGGAAGCCUGUUCCAAGAUGAGGUUUCUCACCACCUUGCGUGGUUAAGGCCCCCUACAGACCAUGGGGUUGAUAGGCCGGAACUGGAAGCGCAGCAAUGCGUGGAGGUGACCGGUACUAAUAGGCCGAGGGCUUU